RNAcentral lists this transfer RNA (66 nucleotides) under Marumba sperchius. Its description in RNAcentral is "tRNA-Phe". Lineage: Eukaryota; Metazoa; Arthropoda; Insecta; Lepidoptera; Sphingidae. The record is from RNAcentral.
AUUUAAAUAGCUUAUAUAGAGUAUAAUAUUGAAGAUAUUAAGGAGAUUGAAUAUAAUCUUUAAAUA